GUGGGGAGGAAAAAACAACAAGCACCGCUCCAGUCAGCAAACAUCCAUGAGCGGUGGUGAUGCGAACACGGAUACGAGGCUCCAGCAGCACCGCAGUCCGCAGGAAACACGGAGGUAACGGGGAGUUGUCAAGAUACCACCGGGCACAACGGAAAACGCGUUCACUGGCGGGAAUUUACCGCUGAGGCGUCGAAUGGAUGAUGAGGAGGAGGACAUGUCACGGCCCAUCUCGCAGCCCCGGGGAACGUCCUUUGGGGACGUCAAAUUCGAAGACCGCGCCACACAGAUCGCAGCUGGACAGGCCCUCGCUGCCGUCACUGCCGCUGUGUCCACGUCGCAGAGCCACAACAACAACAGCAUCAACGCGCUGCCCUGCGGCUUACAUCGGCAGCCUCACAUACCCUUUCACGGCAACGCUGGGUUGCGCUCACAUUUUCCUGCUCAGUUUGAGCCCAUGGAGGACCGGGGAGAGAGGGAGGUUGAAGAGGAGGAGGAAGAGGGCAGAGGGGAAGACAAUGACAGAAUGGCGGAGAGGCCCGAGGAGCAGGUGGGGGUGAGCGUGGAGGCGCAGAUUGGUCGUAAACUUCGGGAGAUUGGAGACAAGUUUCACCAGGAUCACGUUGAACUGUUUGGCCAGUGAUAUCUGAACCACUGAAGGCUGUAGAACAUGCUGCCUGUCACAGUAUACCUGCCACUGAUACCAUGUCAUUACAGUUAAUGGGAGUAUUAGGUUAUGUUUCCUGGUCUACAAAGACAGACGAAGAAAAAAAAAAGACUAUGCCAUCAUCUGGGAGUGACACAGUUUCUGACCGAAUACCUUUGUCCCUUUGUCUCAGUCCUGUAAUUUA
Amphiprion ocellaris (clown anemonefish) is the source of this 848-nucleotide long non-coding RNA. Lineage: Eukaryota; Metazoa; Chordata; Actinopteri; Pomacentridae. The record is from Ensembl.